Molecule: ribosomal RNA, 497 nt
Filed under: uncultured bacterium
Lineage: Bacteria
Description: partial 16S ribosomal RNA
Rfam family: Bacterial small subunit ribosomal RNA
Source: RNAcentral
GAUGAACGCUGGCGGCGUGCCUAAUACAUGCAAGUCGAGCGAACAGACGAGGAGCUUGCUCCUCUGACGUUAGCGGCGGACGGGUGAGUAACACGUGGAUAACCUACCUAUAAGACUGGGAUAACUUCGGGAAACCGGAGCUAAUACCGGAUAAUAUAUUGAACCGCAUGGUUCAAUAGUGAAAGACGGUUUUGCUGUCACUUAUAGAUGGAUCCGCGCCGCAUUAGCUAGUUGGUAAGGUAACGGCUUACCAAGGCAACGAUGCGUAGCCGACCUGAAAGGGUGGUCGGCCACACUGGAACUGAGACACGGUCCAGACGCCUACGGGAGGCAGCAGUAGGGAAUCUUCCGCAAUGGGCGAAAGCCUGACGGAGCAACGCCGCGUGAGUGAUGAAGGUCUUCGGAUCGUAAAACUCUGUUAUUAGGGAAGAACAAAUGUGUAAGUAACUAUGCACGUCUUGACGGUACCUAAUCAGAAAGCCACGGCUAACUACGUG